Molecule: long non-coding RNA, 537 nt
Organism: Hirundo rustica (Barn swallow)
Lineage: Eukaryota; Metazoa; Chordata; Aves; Passeriformes; Hirundinidae
Exons: 3
Source: RefSeq, a predicted model, not a curated record
GGACAGGACAAGGAGCUUUUUGCCCUUAACACUCCUGACUUUGCUGCUGAGGUUCCAGGCCAGCUGUAUGACGGUGCUGUCCCCAGGGAAGAAAAGUUCCUCCUGCUGCACUGGCUGUUGGUGACCUGGCAGGGGACAUGGAGCUACUGGCUGUCACAGCACCAGAGGAGGCAGGGAAGGAUGCAACAGCAUUACAAGCUGAGGUGGAAGGAGCAGAAAAAGCAGCUGCAAUGCCAGAGGCAGAAAGCCUAGUGGGAGCAGGUUUGGGUGGGAAGGUGAUCACUCCUGAAGGAGCAGUAGCGAUUGUGGUGAGAGCAUUGGAAAACCCAGUGGCAGAAAGGGUUGCUGAAGCAUUUGCCAGAGCAGCAGAAAGAAUUGCAGUAUCAGAAGCAGCCAAGGUGUUGCAGUCAACAAUAGCUGAGCUCAAAGGGAAGAGGAAGAACAUGUGGAUAAAGCCAAGGAACACUAUUCGGUGGGAAGAGGAUUGGAUGAAAGAGAGGUGAAAUAAAAUAGAGAUGUUCUGGGUCAUACCUCCUA